RNAcentral lists this ribosomal RNA (477 nucleotides) under uncultured bacterium. Its description in RNAcentral is "bacterial SSU rRNA". It matches the Rfam family "Bacterial small subunit ribosomal RNA", at positions 32 to 507 of the family's 1533-position model. The record is from RNAcentral.
ACGACGCUGGCGGCGUGCCUAACACAUGCAAGUCGACGAUACUUAUUCAGCAAUGGAUAAGUAGAGUGGCGCACGGGUGCGUAAUGCGCAGGUAAUCUACCUUACAGACGGAAAUAACACUUCCAACGAGGUGCUAAUGUCCGAUGUUGCAAUUAGUUCGCAUGAACUGAUUGUGAAACCUACGGGGGCUGUAAGAUGAGCCUGCGUCCCAUUAGGUAGUUGGAGAGGUAAAGGCUCCCCAAGCCGACGAUGGGUAGCUGGUCUGAGAGGACGAUCAGCCACACUGGAACUGAGACACGGUCCAGACUCCUACGGGAGGCAGCAGUGAGGAAUAUUGCUCAAUGGCCGCAAGGCUGAAGCAGCAACGCCGCGUGAGGGAUGAAGGAUCUAUGGUCUGUAAACCUCUGUAGAUAAGGAAAAAUAAUCCAUUAAAUGGAGAUGAUAGUACUUAUAGAGUAAGCCCCGGCUAACUACGUG